Molecule: transfer RNA, 75 nt
Filed under: Mycobacteroides abscessus subsp. bolletii
Lineage: Bacteria; Bacillati; Actinomycetota; Actinomycetes; Mycobacteriales; Mycobacteriaceae
Also listed under: 1 other name
Description: tRNA-Asp(gtc)
Rfam family: tRNA
About the family: Transfer RNA (tRNA) molecules are approximately 80 nucleotides in length. Their secondary structure includes four short double-helical elements and three loops (D, anti-codon, and T loops). Further hydrogen bonds mediate the characteristic L-shaped molecular structure. tRNAs have two regions of fundamental functional importance: the anti-codon, which is responsible for specific mRNA codon recognition, and the 3' end, to which the tRNAs corresponding amino acid is attached (by aminoacyl-tRNA synthetases). tRNAs cope with the degeneracy of the genetic code in two manners: having more than one tRNA (with a specific anti-codon) for a particular amino acid; and 'wobble' base-pairing, i.e. permitting non-standard base-pairing at the 3rd anti-codon position.
Source: RNAcentral
CGAGUCGUAGCUUAGAGGUCCAGAGCGUCGCCCUGUCGAGGCGGAAGACGCGGGUUCAAAUCCCGUCGACUUGAC